Molecule: signal recognition particle RNA, 305 nt
Filed under: Desulfurococcaceae archaeon
Lineage: Archaea; Thermoproteati; Thermoproteota; Thermoprotei; Desulfurococcales; Desulfurococcaceae
Description: signal recognition particle sRNA
Rfam family: Archaeal signal recognition particle RNA
Source: RNAcentral
UGUGCGGGUAGGGCUGGGAGCUCGCCGCCUCCCCUCGCCGAAGGCGUAAAGCGGGGCCAGUAACCUGUACCACCCGGAGACCCCCACCUCCAGAACUCCGCGUUAGCGGUGAAGCCCGCCCCGUGGGGUCGGCGGUGGCGGAGGUCCUCCUGGAGGGGAGGGCCUACCGCCUUUACGGAGGGAACCUGGCCAGGCCCGGAAGGGAGCAACCUAACCUUCGACGUCGACGUUCACGGGUCACCGGGUAGAGGACGGCGCGGAGAGGUCUGGGGGUGGGUUAGCUCCAGGUGGGAGGGGACCGCACA